AAUAAACCCUGGGUUUCUAUGUCCAACAUUUGACCGUCCGUCUUAUUUAAAAAAAUUAUGAAAAAAAUUAAAAAGAUAAGUCACGCAUAAAGUAUUAAUCAUGUUUUAUCAUCUAACAACAAUGAAAAUACUAAUUAUAAAAAAAUUUCAUAUAAAACAGACGGUGAAAUGUUGGACACGGAAAUUUAGUGUUUGUUUUUUU
Molecule: microRNA precursor, 202 nt
Organism: Oryza sativa Japonica Group (Japanese rice)
Lineage: Eukaryota; Viridiplantae; Streptophyta; Magnoliopsida; Poales; Poaceae
Rfam family: MIR812 microRNA precursor family
Source: Rfam